GGGGUUGUGGCUCAGUGGUAGAGUACUUGUCGAUCACGCGUGAGGCACUGAGUUUGAUCCUCAGCACCACA
Molecule: transfer RNA, 71 nt
Filed under: Marmota monax (woodchuck)
Lineage: Eukaryota; Metazoa; Chordata; Mammalia; Rodentia; Sciuridae
Description: tRNA.Asp
Source: RNAcentral